CCCUUAGAUGUUCUGGGCCGCACGCGCGCUACACUGACGAUGGCAACGAGUUUUUCCUUCGCCGAAAGGUGUGGGUAAUCUUUUGAAACAUCGUCGUGCUGGGGAUAGAUCAUUGCAAUUUUUGAUCUUGAACGAGGAAUUCCUAGUAAGCGCGAGUCAUCAGCUCGCGUUGAUUACGUCCCUGCCCUUUGUACACACCGCCCGUCGCUACUACCGAUUGAAUGGUUUAGUGAGGACUCCUGAUUGGCGCCGCCGCCCCGGCAACGGAGCAGCGGACUGCCGAAAAGUUCUUCAAACUUGAUCAUUUAGAGGAAGUAAAAGUCGUAACA
This 329-nucleotide ribosomal RNA is filed under the name uncultured eukaryote. RNAcentral's name for it is "partial 18S ribosomal RNA". It matches the Rfam family "Eukaryotic small subunit ribosomal RNA", at positions 1470 to 1796 of the family's 1831-position model. The record is from RNAcentral.